Long non-coding RNA from Cephus cinctus (wheat stem sawfly), 1012 nucleotides. RefSeq lists it as uncharacterized. The record is from RefSeq and is a predicted model, not a curated record. Lineage: Eukaryota; Metazoa; Arthropoda; Insecta; Hymenoptera; Cephidae. The transcript is spliced from 3 exons.
GCAGGUUUAUAAUAUGUAUGUUUUAGCCAUGUUUCUAAACCGUGUCUGAAUAUUUUUUGCUGCAAGUUUACGGUAUACCCAGGUUAUUAAGCCCAGACACACCACCUGAAUAUAUGGUUUUACCAUAGGACUCAAAUGGGCGCGCUAACUUUAGGUGAUGCGUUUCUAUUGAAUAACCCUGUAUAUUUCGAAUUUCAUCUACCGAAUGACAUAUGAUUUAAUAUGUUAAAUAUCUAGAGCCUCGAAUCGCGAUGACAUUUUGGCAAUCCUGUCAACUAUUUUGAUACGGGCCCAAACGAAGAUCGUGACGUUGAAAAAUCCUUCCCAGGACCCAUUUCAUUGACCCCAAUGGUGCUAUGCUUGUGAGACCCAAAAGGUUGUACUUCAUUAAACGAAUAGCCUAGUGAUAUUAACCUCUGGAAGAUGGGGAUUUUUCAGCUAUACAUCACUUUCAUUUUUCUCGUACAGUAGCACUUUACUAUAUGUUAAAUUCUUUUAUUUGACGUUUUAAUUCAUAUUACGUAUUACUUAUUAUGUAUUGAACCAUAUCAAUGCAUAUUCUAAGCUCCAAGUCAAAAACUGUAGAAGUUAAAAAAUCUGUCCGUUCUCUGAAGGUUAACAGAAGACCCGACUGCAUCAAGCGUAAUAACUCGAUAAAGAUUCGAUACAAGACCCUUGGGGAACUUUCUCGUCAAGAUGAGAAGCGAAUCAAUUCACAUGGAACAAGUUAAUGGUAAAAAUCCGAGAAGAGAAGUCUUUUAGAUGAGAAAGAAUGAUAAGACGAUAAGGCCCACUAGGUGCUUUGGGGGGGCCUUAAAAAACACGAGUGUUCAAAGGGGCCUUACUGUAGGUGUACCAGGACUUACUAUACGUUCCAACAGUGCACAUUCGAGCGUAUGCAUUUAUCAUUCGUGGAGGAGCAAACCUUCUAUGUUGGUACUCUUGCUUUGUGUGAUACCGCUCGUGUAAACGUGUAUAUAUAUAUAAUACGUAUAUACAGAGAGGACUGGAG